AUCUGGGCGGCGGAAUUCAGGAUGGCGGGCGUGUUCUGCGCGUUCGUCGUUUGAUAUUUCCGUCGCCAGGAAGACGUCGCGACCUGUUCGCGGUCGGUCCCUGCUCGGAGGAGUUGCGUUCGAGUUCGUUGUGCGGCGCGUUUCUGCGCGUCACACGGCGAAGGCGCGAAUCUCUGGCCGGCCGACGGACAGUAGGCUAAACGGUGUCCGGUGUCGUCGUCUCGUACGCGCGCGCAUCGGUACCGGUCGGCGACGAAUUCUUCGGGCCUCUUUCCGACCCGUCUUGAAACACGGACCAAGGAGUCUAACAUGCGCGCGAGUCGCGGGGUGUCGAGCGUACCACGCGUACGCUCGUUACGUAACGAAACCCGUACAUAUCGAAGGCGUAAUGAAAGUAAAUGGGGAAGAUGGUGUUCCGAGUACACGUUCCGCGGUCAUCGGUACCGCGGCCGGACACCCGCAUUCCCGGGGCGUCUCAACGGCCCGUCGCGAAUGCGGACGGUCGUCUUUCGGGGCGGCCGUCGGUUUGCGACGAACCGA
Molecule: ribosomal RNA, 540 nt
Filed under: Microparlatoria sp. ud5020
Lineage: Eukaryota; Metazoa; Arthropoda; Insecta; Hemiptera; Diaspididae
Description: eukaryotic LSU rRNA
Source: RNAcentral